Nanorana parkeri is the source of this 155-nucleotide long non-coding RNA. RefSeq lists it as uncharacterized. The record is from RefSeq and is a predicted model, not a curated record. Lineage: Eukaryota; Metazoa; Chordata; Amphibia; Anura; Dicroglossidae. The transcript has 3 exons.
GUAUAACAUUCAAAAUACUAACAACAUACAAAGCCAUCCACAACUCUGCCCCAGGCUACAUCACCAAACUCAUCUCCAAAUAUCGCCCCACCCACCCUCUCUGCUCCUCCCAAGACUUCCUGCUCUCUAGCUCCCUAAUCCCCUCUGUCACACAA